RNAcentral lists this ribosomal RNA (433 nucleotides) under uncultured bacterium. RNAcentral's name for it is "partial 16S ribosomal RNA". It matches the Rfam family "Bacterial small subunit ribosomal RNA", at positions 29 to 507 of the family's 1533-position model. The record is from RNAcentral.
AACGAACGCUGGCGGCAUGCCUAACACAUGCAAGUCGAACGAGACCUUCGGGUCUAGUGGCGCACGGGUGCGUAACGCGUGGGAACCUGCCCUUAGGUUCGGAAUAACUCCCCGAAAGGGGUGCUAAUACCGGAUAAUGUCUUCGGACCAAAGAGUUAUCGCCUUUGGAUGGGCCCGCGUUGGUUUAGCUAGUUGGUAGGGUAAAAGCCUACCAAGGCGACGAUCCAUAGCUGGUCUGAGAGGAUGAUCAGCCACACUGGGACUGAGACACGGCCCAGACUCCUACGGGAGGCAGCAGUGGGGAAUAUUGGACAAUGGGCGAAAGCCUGAUCCAGCAAUGCCGCGUGAGUGAUGAAGGCCUUAGGGUUGUAAAGCUCUUUUACCCGGGAUGAUAAUGACAGUACCGGGAGAAUAAGCUCCGGCUAACUCCGUG